Molecule: long non-coding RNA, 1186 nt
Filed under: Homo sapiens (human)
Lineage: Eukaryota; Metazoa; Chordata; Mammalia; Primates; Hominidae
Description: HSALNT0287013
Source: RNAcentral
CGCAGCGACAGGCUGAAGGGCUCCUCCAGCGCGGCCAGAGCGGACACCGGGGCCGAGGAGGCGCCGAGAGCGAGCGAGGGCUGCUAGCACGUUUUCACCUCUCAAUACAAGAAGCUACUUCAUAGAAGAAGCAAACUUAGAAUACAUUUAAGUUUGCGUUCAAACUCUUCACUUCCCAAUACCAGAGUCUCUGGAUUCACGGGUCUGGAUAGGUGGCCAUGAUGACGUCUGGAGAUUUGUUCUAAGUGCCGAGACCAGAAGCUACAAGCCAAAAUUAAGCCCAACAUGGUCCCUUCUACCUCUGCUUUUCCUGUUUUGCCUCCUGGCUAUUUUCGGAGGAGUUGGAUCUUUCAGUUACUUGUUUCAAUCAAGAAAAAUGACAGAGAUGCUACUUACCCAUAAAAAGGACCGAAGUAAUGGCAUUUGCAGUAACCUGGAUAGAAUUGGAGACUGUUAAUCUAAGUGAAGUAACUCAGGAAUGGAAAGCCAAACAUUGUACGUUCUCAGUCAGAAGUGGGAUCUAAGCUAUGAGGACAUAAAGGCAUAAGACUAAUACAACGGUGUUUGGAGACUCAGGUGAAGGGGUGUAAGGGGGUGAGGGAUAAGAGUACACAUUGGGUACAGUGUACACUGCUCAGGUGAUGGGUGCAUCAAAAUCUCAGAAAUCACCACUAAAGAAUCUAUUCAUAUACAAAAAUUAAUUAAUUAAUUAGUUAAAAAAUAACUGAUCUGCUGUCACUCUAGAUUAUAUUUGUCUUUUUUGGAGUUCCACAUAAAUGGAAUCAUACAAUGUACUAUUUUGUGUCUGAUUUCUUUCACUCAGCAUAGUUUUACGAUUUAACCAUGUAGUUACAGAUAUCAUUCCUUGUUAUUGUUGAGUAUUCCAUUGUAGAGAUACACUACAAUUUGUUUAUUUGUUUAUCUAUUAAUAGGCAUUUGAGUUGUCUCCAGUUUGGGAUUCCUACAAAUAAAGCUGUUAAGAACAUUAAAAAAAAAUGACCGGGAAAAAUUUCAAUCAUUUUAGGAGGUUUACUUGUCAAAGUUAAGGACGAGCACUGGGGAGACAGGCCUAUGCCUUUCUCUGAAGCUGAUUUUGAGGGCUCCAAAUUUAGAGGGGAAAAUAUUGAGAAAUACACAAUUUUCAUGUAAGAGGAGGGCGGGGGAAAAUAGUCAUUCAUGCCUUUGU